Molecule: ribosomal RNA, 183 nt
Filed under: Citrobacter portucalensis
Lineage: Bacteria; Pseudomonadati; Pseudomonadota; Gammaproteobacteria; Enterobacterales; Enterobacteriaceae
Description: partial 23S ribosomal RNA
Rfam family: Bacterial large subunit ribosomal RNA
Source: RNAcentral
GCUAAAUGCGGAAGAGAUAAGUGCUGAAAGCAUCUAAGCACGAAACUUGCCCCGAGAUGAGUUCUCCCUGAGACUAUAAGUCUCCUGAAGGAACGUUGAAGACGACGACGUUGAUAGGUCGGGUGUGUAAGUGUAGCGAUACAUUGAGCUAACCGAUACUAAUGAACCGUGAGGCUUAACCUU